Molecule: ribosomal RNA, 2683 nt
Filed under: Clostridiaceae bacterium
Lineage: Bacteria; Bacillati; Bacillota; Clostridia; Eubacteriales; Clostridiaceae
Description: partial 23S ribosomal RNA
Rfam family: Bacterial large subunit ribosomal RNA
Source: RNAcentral
GAUUUCCGAAUGGGGAAACCCGGCAGAGCAAUACUCUGUCAACCAUAGCUGAAUCCAUAGGCUAUGGUGGGGAACCGCCUGAACUGAAACAUCUAAGUAGGGCGAGGAAAAGAAAUCAACCGAGAUUCCGUAAGUAGUGGCGAGCGAACGCGGAAAAGGCCAAACCGGGUGUAGCAAUAUGCCCGGGGUUCGGACGGCAAUCUGUAGCCAUUUUCGAUAACCGAACGCGUUGGGAAGCGCGGCAAUACAGGGUGACAGCCCCGUAGGUGAAAUCGAAGUGGCGCUAGCCGGAUCCAGAGUACCACAGGACACGUGAAACCCUGUGGGAAGAUGGGGGGACCAUCCUCCAAGCCUAAAUACUACUCAGUGACCGAUAGUGGAGCAGUACCGUGAGGGAAAGGUGAAAAGUACCCCGGGAGGGGAGUGAAAAAGAACCUGAAACCUUGUGCUUACAAGCACCGAGAGCGCGUUUAUGCGUGAUCGGGUACUUUUUGUAGAACGGUCCGGCGAGUUAAUGUACGUAGCAAGCUUAAGGUACUGUAGUACCGGAGGCGCAGGGAGACCGAGUCUGAAUAGGGCGGCUUAGUUACGUGUAUUAGACCCGAAACCGGGUGACCUAUCCAUGAGCAGGCUGAAGCGGUGGUAAGACACCGUGGAGGGCCGAACCCACGUCCGUUGAAAAGGCCGGGGAUGACUUGUGGAUAGCGGAGAAAUUCCAAUCGAACUCGGAGAUAGCUGGUUCUCCCCGAAAUAGCUUUAGGGCUAGCGUCAGGUUAGAUUACCGGAGGUAAAGCACUGAAUGGGCUAGGGGCCGCGAGGUUACCGAACCCUAUCAAACUCAGAAUGCCGGAUAAUUGUUGCCUGGCAGUCAGACUACGUGAGAUAAGUCUCGUGGUCAAAAGGGAAACAGCCCAGACCCACAGCUAAGGUCCCAAAUAAAUGCUAAGUGGAAAAUGAUGUGAAACUGCGAAAACAACCAGGAUGUUGGCUUAGAAGCAGCCACACAUUCAAAGAGUGCGUAAUAGCUCACUGGUCGAGUGGUUUUGCGCAGAAAAUGUAACGGGGCUAAGCAUUUAACCGAAGCUUGGGCAGAUGAAUAAUCUGGGUAGGGGAGCGUCCGAUAUGGGGCGAAGUCAGAGCGGAAGCACUGGUGGACUGUAUUGGAGUGAGAAUGCCGGAAUAAGUAGCGAGAAUUAUGUGAGAAUCAUAAUGGCCGAAAAUCUAAGGUUUCUUGGGGAAGGUUCGUCCGCCCAAGGUUAGUCGGGAGCUAAGGCGAGGCCGAACGGCGUAGUCGAUGCACACACGGUAGAAAUUCCGUGACCACCAAAAGAGUUAAGCAGAGGGACGCUUUCUUUAAGUCUAUCCCGGGCGAUGGUUGCCCCGGGCGUAAGGGACCGAAAUAUAGUAGGGAAGUAGAUGGCGAGAGAGACGAGAAAAGCUCUGUGUAUUUCUGAGGUGCCCGUACCGCAAACCGACACAGGUAGAUGGGAUGAGGAUUCUAAGGCCAACGGGAGAAGGGUUGUUAAGGAACUCGGCAAAUUGGUCCCGUAACUUCGGGAGAAGGGACGCCCACGCAAGUGGGCCGCAGUGAAAAGGCCCAAGCGACUGUUUAGCAAAAACACAGCUCUCUGCUAAAUCGAAAGAUGACGUAUAGGGGGUGACGCCUGCCCGGUGCUGGAAGGUUAAGGGGAGUGCUCAGGAGAAAUCCGAAGGUGCGAACUUAAGCCCCAGUAAACGGCGGCCGUAACUAUAACGGUCCUAAGGUAGCGAAAUUCCUUGUCAGGUAAGUUCUGACCCGCACGAAUGGCGUAACGAUUUGGGCACUGUCUCAACAGCCCGCCCGGCGAAAUUGUAGUACCGGUGAAGAUGCCGGUUUCCCGCAACUAGACGGAAAGACCCCAUGGAGCUUCACUGUAGCUUGAUAUUGGAUCUCGGUAUUCCAUGUACAGGAUAGGUGGGAGGCUAGGAAGCAAGUGCGCCAGCAUUUGUGGAGCCAACCUUGGGAUACCACUCUUGGGGUAUUGGGAUUCUAACCUGCGCCCAUGAAUCUGGGCGGGGGACACUGUCAGGUGGGCAGUUUGACUGGGGCGGUCGCCUCCAAAAGAGUAACGGAGGCGCUCAAAGGUUCGUUCAGCACGGACGGAAAUCGUGCGGUGAGUGUAAACGCAGAAACGAGCCUAACUGCGAGAAUGACGGUUCGAGCAGUAACGAAAGUUGGAGUUAGUGAUCCGGCGGUAUGUGAAUGGAAAUGCCGUCGCUCAACGGAUAAAAGCUACCCUGGGGAUAACAGGCUGAUCUCCCCCAAGAGUCCACAUCGACGGGGAGGUUUGGCACCUCGAUGUCGGCUCAUCGCAUCCUGGGGCUGAAUUCGGUCCCAAGGGUUUGGCUGUUCGCCAAUUAAAGCGGUACGCGAGCUGGGUUCAGAACGUCGUGAGACAGUUCGGUCCCUAUCUGUUGCGGGCGCAGGAAUAUUGAAAGGAGCUGUCCUUAGUACGAGAGGACCGGGAUGGACGUACCGCUGGUGCACCAGUUGUUCCGCCAGGGGCAUAGCUGGGUAGCUAAGUACGGACGAGAUAAACGCUGAAGGCAUCUAAGCGUGAAACUCCCCUUAAGAUCAGUAUUCCCAUCCUUCGGGAGUAAGGCCCCAUGUAGACUACAUGGUUGAUAGGUCAGAAGUGGAAGU